This is a long non-coding RNA of Monomorium pharaonis (pharaoh ant), 6937 nucleotides long. RefSeq lists it as uncharacterized. The transcript is spliced from 2 exons. The record is from RefSeq and is a predicted model, not a curated record. Lineage: Eukaryota; Metazoa; Arthropoda; Insecta; Hymenoptera; Formicidae.
AAGUACCAUAAUUUUUAUUGCAAUAUUUUUUUAAAUUAAUUGUUUAAUUGUUUUUCAUGCGUAUCCUUUAUUUUAAGAAUGUGUUCCAAACGUCGACGUCAACUGAAACAAUAAUUAAAAUAAUAAAAAAUUUGUAAUAUUUAAUAUUAUUGUAUUAUAUGUAUAAUUACCACAUGCUUAUGAAAAAGAAAUAGAAAUAGGAGCAGUAGAAAUGUUAAAAAUUUAUUUCUAUAAGUUAUAGAUUUUUACAUGCAAAACAUAGCACUGAUAACACAAGAAAAUAUCUUUAACAAUAUAAAUUGUAAUUAUAAACUUUAAUAAUAAAUUUAAUCAACAAAAAACCGUUGCUUUUAAAAAUGUGGAACGCUUCACGAUUUUGCGUACGUACAAACUAAAUAGAAAAACAUACAAAUUAAAUUUUAAUUAUGACAUAAAAUUAUAGUUUUUCUAUGUCUGGGUUGCGACUUAAAAGAUCUGUUUAUAAUUUUUAAUGAGUAAAAAAGUCGUACCCGAUCAUAUAAUCUCAAUAAAUAAUUAUAAGAAAAAUGUUUACAUAGAUGAUUAAAUUCAACAUUUUCGAAAAUGGUAAUAAGUUUACGAAUUACAUGUUUCUGUACAAUUAAUUUCUCAGCUUUGGAAAAAAAUUAAUUUUCUAAUUUUUUAAUAUAUGCUACGAAAUCAUUAUUUGGCAUACAUAAAUUUCCAAAAGAAUUAUCUUCAGUAGACUGUAAGCUCUAAAAAAGAAGUAAUAUGAUAUUUCAUUUAAAUCAAUAUACGAACGUGCAUAUUGAAAACAAAUAUUGCAUGAAUGUUUUUGAAGAUAUCUACGUAUUAUAUAUCCACAAACAAAUCUGAACGCAUCUUGUUCAUUUACAUCCAUCUCACGAUAAUCAUGAUCAUCCAAAAGUAUUGGUUCAAAAUCAUCUGUGUUGGGUAUCUUUAUAAUCCUCUUCUCUAAAGUUUGUAACAGCUGCUAAUAUCUCAGCAUUAUUUCUUUCACAAUUUCCAGUUUUAACAGUACAAUAUUUUAGAGAAAAAAGUUUUCUGAAUGAAUAGAAAAACUGAACUGGAGUAAGAUUGAAAACAUUACCAUUCGAUCCUCGGACAUCCGUAAAAAAGUGCUCCAAACAAUCUUAAGUAAAACGGCGUAAUAAUAGAAAUUGGAUUUCUGGAUAUACAUUUUGCAAAUAUUUCCAUAUUUGUAGAAGAGAAUUUAUAUUGUGCUUCAUGCAUUUAAAAACUUUAAUUUUAUUAGAAAUAUUUACACCAGCUUUAUUAUAUAUCAUUAAUUUGAAUAUAUAUAAGUUCUUUAUUGUUUCCCCUUAGGGUUUACAAUCUCUAUACAAUUCAACCGCUUAUAUCUACUCUUAACACUACUCUUAUAACUAAACUUAAUCUACUUAACCUAAUAUCUGGGGUGCUUUGGCCUAUUACCGCCUCCACACCCCCUUUUCUACGCGCGCACACACACACACACACACACACACACACACACACACACACACACACACACACACACACACACACACACACACAUACCGCUCCGCUGGACUUCCGUUUCCUCUGCCUAUGCAUCCAUUAUUGUCUCUAUCCCUAUUCCUUCUACGUUUCCCUCCUCCUUACUUUCGUCUCUCUCCCUCUCUAAUUCUCUCAACCAAUUUUCACCCUCUCCUUUCGACCCUAAAAUCCUCCAUUGCUACCUGCCAACUAUCUCCACCCCCCCCCCCCCUCAAUCUCUGUACUCUUACCAUACAUGUUCCCACGUUUCACUCCUUCAUCCACACAAUCUACAUCUCUUCUUUACUUCUUCUUCCCAAUAUCUAUCCCCCCUCAUUUCGUUACUUAACCUAAACCUCAUGACUUUUCUCUACCUACUCUCUCCCCCUACCCUUUUUUAUAUUUUGGAAUCCCUUCCUCUUUAACCCAUUUAUAGCAUUUAUUAUACUCAGACUCACUAAUUUUCCUCCAUCUGUCCUCCUUCUGUAACUGCCUCUCCUUGCUUAUAAUCGCCUCUAAUACCUCUUCUCUAUGUCCCAUUUCAAUCUCCUCCAACUUCCAUCUUCUAUACUCAAAAAACUCGGUUCCUCUUCCCACUCCACCUCUACCUUUGCUAUCCUACCUUUUGCUCUUAUUUCCUCUAGAUAUUUGCCCCUCCUCUCAUCCAACCUCUUUUCAUAUGCCCACGCUCUCUUUUCCGCUCUACUUCUCAAUUUGUCCCUCUGUAUUUCCUCUCUUACCAUAUAUCCCGGUGUGUUCCAGUUUAAAUCUAGCACCCACCUUACAUAUCUUUUUUCUAUCCUCUCUAUACUCUCCCUCUCCUUCCAUCCCCAUACUUCCACUCCAUAACUCAUUACUGUUCAAACCAGCUUGUCAAACAUUCAUAACCUCCUCCCCCAAUCCUUGCCAUAUCUUCUCUUCCCGAUCCCCCAAACCUGUCCCAUUACCGCCGCCGCUCUCCUCACUCUAUCCCUUACCUGCGCCUUUUGUCCCCCGUUUUUUUGCAUGAUACAUCCCAGAUAGUUGUACUCCUUAACUUCUUCUAUUCUCCUUCCCUUUCAUCACCAGCUCUUUUUGCUUUUCCUACCUUCUCCUCUUCUAAAUCUCAUUAUUUUCGAUUUUCUUGCGUUUAAUACUAAGUUCUUCUCAUCCAAAUACUCUUCAAGCCUCAUACUCCUCAUCUGAUCUUCCGCUUCCCUAACCACAAGAUCAUCUGCGUACGUGCUGCUAACGUGCAAACCCUCUCUCCUCCUAUCUUUAAAUCUCCUCACUUAACUCUCCCCAUAACCUCCUCUAAGUAAAAAAUUAGAAUGUUAAAUAAUAAUGGACUCCAACCCUUUCCAUCUAACCACACACACGUCUCCAUCAAACAUCACAUCCCAUUCUUUCAUACCCUUUCAAAAUUCUCUAUCUUUAUUCCCUAACUCUGCCACAUUCCAAAAAACAAUUCUCACUCCUCUCUCAUCCAUCCUCCCCUCUCUCCUUAUACCCCUUACAUUCUUUCUCUCUUCUCUUCCCCCUUCCCCUCCACCCUAACCUCUCCCUUCUCAUUUAUAAAUACUUCCUCUUUUUCAUCCCAUUUCCACUAACUCUCUCCUAUUCUAAUCCUACCAUAACCUAACCUAACCUUUUUUUUGUUUUGCGCGGAUGAGAGAAAUCUUCAAAAGAUACCCGGGAGCCCCGGGUAGUGUGGGAUUCUACGUAACUGGUGUCAGCGUUGCCUACCCACUAAAACUCUCAUCCAAUCGUUUCCUCUACCUUGGACCUCUUUUGCAGACUUCCCCGGCAUUGACGUAAGCCAUUUCUUCGGAAAAAGUUCGCAAAAGUCCAUAGAGAUAUAUCUCCUCAGAACUACGCAUAAUCUGACGGGGUUAUUAUGCUUACAAACUAUUAUUAUAUAUACAUAUUUACAACAUAGAACUAACCAACCAGGAAACCCAACGUAACCCAGAGCCCAUAAAUGAGCCCAAGGUCCGUCCAGUCUCGUGGUUUACAAGGACCUUAUAAUACUUAUUCUUACCGGUAACAGGGACCAGUCAUCUCUCAACUUAGCUCGGGAGUGGGGGUGCGCUAAACCCCGGAUAGUUUUUGUUCCUAUCCCUCUGCACAUAAAUGGCGAACAACAAAUUUUUGUUCGCCCAUUAUCUUCUAUUGAGAAUUCUAUUUACCUUUCUCUCUCUUUCUCUCCCCCCCCCUCUCUUUCUCUCUCUCUCAUUUAUUACACUUUCGCAAAAACGGAACAUUCCAGCCAUCCUUCUUAACUAACAUAAAUGUAAUUACUGAUCUAAGCGUUAAGUCCUCACUUAUUAUUCCUCUUAAUUCUGAACGUUGUUCUUCAAACUCCUCGCAGUCUGCGAGGGUAUGUUGAGCAUUAUCUUCAUUGGCUCCGCAGUGUCUACAGCGCGGGGAAACGCUACGAUUUAUUUUAAACAGAAAAUAACUAAAACUACCAUGUCCGAUAGAACUUGGGUAAGCCUGAAAGAUAACUUCAGUCAUCUGGUCAUCGUUGCUUCUUCCGUACCAGAGUUCAAGAUUAGGCAAAAUUGCUUCGCGAGUCCCGGAGCGUUCGGACUUAACCUUUCUAAUCUAUUCUUCCAGGCUUCUAACGCCUUAUGUCUCUCUUCCUCUUUUAUCAUUCUUUUACUUAAUACUGAUAUCUCAUAAUCUAAAUCUAGAGCCAUAUGUAUUCUAUUAUCUUUAAGUAUCUUUAAGUUUUAUAGCCAUUAUAUCAGCCGGGAUAAGCCUGGCCAGUAUCAUGGCCGCAUUAUAUGCGAUUGUGCGGUAUCCCGCCACUGCUCUAAUAGCGAGCAAUCUUUGCAGUCUUCUAAAUUACCAUAACCCUUUUUUUUGUACGAGGUGGGAAUGCAUUUACGCAUACCCCCGCCACCGAUGACUCACGGGCAGGGGUUAAUGGGACUCACGGGUUUGCAAUCGAGAAAGCUAAGCCCUUCCCGAUCGCGUGCAAUAUCCGUUCUAUUCACUAGGAUGGCCUUGACGGCGCGAUUUGGGGGAUCCACCGGGAAUUGCUAUCCAGCAUAACUGCCGGUGGGCCCCCCCGCGCCGACGCGCCGUGACGACGCGCGCGUCGCUCCGGGCGAGCGGGGCGGACGUCUCCGGAUACCGGAGAGCCCCGCUCGCCCGGCUGGUUCUUUGAACAUGAACCAGUGGCCAUUGUAUUCGGGGGGGGGGGGCUGUAAUCUUGUCUCCUCCCCCCCCGCCGCCACUCCUCUCCCUCCCCUAGUCCACGACAUGUGGAGGGAAGAGGGACGGGAGAUCGAUGUUUGGUCCGACUGUAUAUCACUCACGUUGAAGAAGGGGAGGGAGUCGAGGGCAGGGGCGAACGUCGCCCCGAGCAACCUCACCCCCCAACGACCCGCGGCGUGCUUGUGGGGGGAGGGGGAAGCUCUGUGCCCAGUGGUCGGGCCGGACCCUCCCCCUAGCGGGCGGAUAUUGUUUCGAUGGUCCGGGGGGGAAGAAGGGCCGUGUCUAUCGGCUUGCCUCCCUAGUUCCCCCCGGACCAUACACCCUGUUUGCGCGCGCCGACCUCGCACUCAACUCGAGGCCGGCGCGCCCGUUGCUUCUCCUCCCUCGUCGUUCGGGGGACGUCCCUUGUUGCCCCCCGCAGGCCCGAGCGGGGCCAUCGCGGCGGCGGCCAAGGGGGCGGGGGCAUCAAUGCCCAGUCGCGGUCCCCGCCCACCGAAUUUGGCAGGCGACUAUGACGCCGGCGACGAGGGGGUGCGUCUCUCGCUCCGGCGUCCCCCAAGUCCGGAGAGGGGGAUCCGCGAGGACCCCCUCUCAGCCUCCUCCUUCCGCGACAUGACUGUUUCGAAGAAGGAAAAGGCCUCCUCCCACGUGGACAAAUUACCAUAACCUAACCUAACCUAACCAUACCUUAUUUCCUUUCUCUUCUUCCGUUCUCGCUAUCCUUUCCAACCUCCAUCUAAUUAUCUUUUUCUUCCAAGUCCAAUCUGCUAAAAUUCUUUCUUCCCGCCCUCUUAAAUUCUUCUUUCUACUCCAAACCUCUUUCCUCUGCUCUUCAUUUUCUAACCUUAUCCAUAGCAACUCCCUCCCUUUCUUAUUUACUUCUCCUAUAUUUCUAAUCCCCUUCACCGUCACUUCCGCCCCUAUAUCUUUAAACACCCCUUUUACGGCUUUCCUUCUCUUACCCUUCUUUACCGCCACCCCCCUAAGUAUCACAUUUUUCCUCCUCUCUUCUCUAUCCUUCAACUCCAUCUUCUCCAUCUCUUUAACCCUCUUAUCUAGCAUUCUAUCUCCUACCUUAUCCGUCUUCUCUAUCCUUUUCAUCUCCUCCUGUGCCUCCACUAACUCCUUUUUUUUCUCUUUCCCAUCUACUCUCCCUUUCCCUAAGCUCCCUGAUUUCUUUUUUUAAAGCCUCUAUCUCCUCUCUCAUCCUUUUCCCCUGCUCUUCCACAAUCUCUUUUAAUUCCUCUUUUAUUUCCGUUUUUACUACUUUUAGUCCCUCUAUUGUCUCAUCUUUCCACGUCCUUAAGUUUCUAACCAACUCAUCCCCCCCCCUCUCCAGGCGGAGAUCUUGCUACUCUCUUACUUCCCCUUUAUCCCUCUAACGACGUACAACUAUCGCUUUUUCCUCUCUCUAUAUUACUCAUGCUUUAGACUAUGCCCGUUGUCUCUUGUGAAUACACCUUAACCAUCCUAUCCCCUCUCUAGACCUUCAGGCGGCGCUUCUGUUCUCUACUCCAUUCAAUCCUUGCGUCACGCACGCCUGUCUUGAACCUAUCUAAUCCCUGCCUCUGCUCUGUUGCCCACUAACUCACCUACUUUAUAUGCAAUUUCUUGCUUACACACUCUUCUCCCCACUCUAUCUUGACCAUCCACACACUCCACUCGCUCUCCGCAAUCACAUCACGCUAUCCUACUUCUCCUAACACCUCAAUAACUCUCAGUAUCACUCUAUAAAACUACCGGCUAUCCACAUACGUCUAACUCACAACGGCCCUGAAACGGAAGUCUCACUAAUUUGAAUAUAUAUUCUUUAAUUUUUGAAAGAAAUUUCAAUUGAUACUGCGUUCCCUGCAAAGCUUGUUUAAAUUGAGAUGGAUGUUGAACCGAAGAUGAAUUGAAUAGAUAAAAAAAAUCGUUCAUAUUUUGAAUAAAAUCUGCUGUUCUAAGUGCAAUUGUCGUAUCUGCAGGUUUCAAAGCUCUAGAAAUUACUAAUUUCCUCAAGCUGCUACUCACUGUAGAGCUUAAAAUUUGUGUAGCCAAGUAUACUUUCAUUUUUUUCAAAAUUUGAAAAUUUUAUAUGUUUUUCAGUAAGUUUAUGUGCAAGUCGAAAUUCUCUAGUUUGAUCUUCAUAAAAUAAAUAUUGAAUUCCCAAGAAAUUGAUUUAGAAUUAUACUUAAUGAUAUUGUCGUGAAAAUUAUUUCUAACAGUUUUUAUUAUAUGAGGUAAAUAAAAAAAA